This 253-nucleotide ribosomal RNA is filed under the name uncultured bacterium. Its description in RNAcentral is "partial 16S ribosomal RNA". It matches the Rfam family "Bacterial small subunit ribosomal RNA", at positions 524 to 776 of the family's 1533-position model. The record is from RNAcentral.
UACGAAGGGGGCUAGCGUUGCUCGGAAUCACUGGGCGUAAAGAGCGCGCAGGCGGUCGUUCAAGUCGAGUGUGAAAGCCCCCGGCUCAACUGGGGAGGGUCAUUCGAUACUGAUCGACUUGAAGGCAGGAGAGGGAAGUGGAAUUCCCGGUGUAGUGGUGAAAUGCGUAGAUAUCGGGAGGAACACCAGUGGCGAAGGCGACUUCCUGGCCUGUUCUUGACGCUGAGGCGCGAAAGCUAGGGGAGCAAACGGG